CCGCGACCCCAGGUCAGGCGGGACUACCCGCUGAGUUUAA
Molecule: ribosomal RNA, 40 nt
Filed under: Chiliotrichum diffusum
Lineage: Eukaryota; Viridiplantae; Streptophyta; Magnoliopsida; Asterales; Asteraceae
Also listed under: 29 other names
Description: partial 26S ribosomal RNA
Source: RNAcentral